RNAcentral lists this ribosomal RNA (252 nucleotides) under uncultured bacterium. Its description in RNAcentral is "partial 16S ribosomal RNA". It matches the Rfam family "Bacterial small subunit ribosomal RNA", at positions 524 to 776 of the family's 1533-position model. The record is from RNAcentral.
UACAGAGGUCCCAAGCGUUGUUUGGAUUUACUGGGCGUAAAGGGUGCGUAGGUGGCGGGGUAAGUCUGGUGUGAAAGCUCCGAGCUCAACUCGGAAAAGCAUUGGAAACUAUCCCGCUUGAGGGUCGGAGGGGAGACUGGAAUUCUCGGUGUAGCAGUGAAAUGCGUAGAUAUCGAGAGGAACACCAGUGGCGAAGGCGAGUCUCUGGACGACUCCUGACACUGAGGCACGAAAGCUAGGGGAGCAAACAGG